RNAcentral lists this small nuclear RNA (107 nucleotides) under Nannospalax galili (Upper Galilee mountains blind mole rat). Lineage: Eukaryota; Metazoa; Chordata; Mammalia; Rodentia; Spalacidae. The record is from RNAcentral.
GUGCUCGCUUCAGCAGCACAUAUAUUAAAAUUGGAAUGAUACAGAGAAGAUUAGCAUGGCCCUUGCGCAAGGAUGACACACAAAUCCGUGAAGCAUUCCAUAUGUUU